AUUGAACGCUGGCGGCAGGCCUAACACAUGCAAGUCGAACGAGUGGCGGACGGGUGAGUAAUGUAUGGGAACCUGCCCGAUGGAGGGGGAUAACUACUGGAAACGGUAGCUAAUACCGCAUACAAUCGGAUGUGCCCACAUGGGAGUAGCUAGUAGGUGGGGUAACGGCUCACCUAGGCGACGAUCCCUAGCUGGUUUGAGAGGAUGACCAGCCACACUGGGACGGAGACACGGCCCAGACUCCUCCGGGAGGAAGCAGUGGGGAAUAUUGAACAAUGGGCGCAAGCCUGAUGCAGCCAUUCCGCGUGGAUGAAGAAGGCCUUAGGGUUGUAAAGUACUUUCAGCGGGGAGGCGGUACCCGCAGAAGAAGCACCGGCUAACUCCGUGCCAGCAGCCGCGGUAAUUC
RNAcentral lists this ribosomal RNA (406 nucleotides) under uncultured bacterium. Its description in RNAcentral is "partial 16S ribosomal RNA". It matches the Rfam family "Bacterial small subunit ribosomal RNA", at positions 30 to 526 of the family's 1533-position model. The record is from RNAcentral.